Long non-coding RNA from Pocillopora damicornis (cauliflower coral), 931 nucleotides. RefSeq lists it as uncharacterized. Lineage: Eukaryota; Metazoa; Cnidaria; Anthozoa; Scleractinia; Pocilloporidae. The record is from RefSeq and is a predicted model, not a curated record.
GUAAGUGAAAUUUUUUAAAAUUCAUUCCUUGAAUUGAACAUUACCAAUAAAUCUAAAUAAUGGUAACACUUUCAAACAUUUCAAAUAGAAAAUACAAUGAAUAUUUGUCCUUUAUUAUUACUAUUAAUAGUAUUUAUCCAAACCUUAGAACUUCACCAUGCUUGUAGCAUUAUAUUUGUAAUGAUAGUCAAUCAAAUAUAUCAAAUCAAAAUGUUCCAAUCUAUGACAUUAAUGCUUAACUCAUUUCACAACCUGUGGUACACUGAUCUUAACAAAAUUCCUUAGAAACGUUAAGUCAACUUUUAGUACACUGAAAACCUAAUUCAGGGCAGUUUAACACCUUAAUCAUGUAUUUAUUUGAUCAUUCUUUGUUUAAAGAUUAUACAUUGACAUUACAAAUGAAAUCUAAGAAAAAGUUCCUUCUUUACAUCUUAUUAACUUCAGGAAUAUGAUUUAAGGUGGAUCACAUCAUUUUAGUGACAAAUUAUCCCUAUAUUUCACAGAACUCACAACAAAACAGAUUGUACUUUAACCAUAUGUUAGACGUCUGUAAAACAAUUGCCAGAUCAAACCUUGCUAAGGUAUCUGCAGUGGUGGUGGCGGCAAAUGAAGCUGAAGACAACUAAAGUGCAACAAGUGUUGGCCCAUACCGUAAUAUCCACAAGAUUUCAUAAUUUUCCUUUUUUGCGUUGAUGUGCUGUGUUUUUGUGUUUUUGGUUUGAAGCAGACUAAUGUUUGCCCAUGGCGUAGUAUGCACAAGAUUUCAUAAUUUUUCCUGUUUUGCGUUGAUUUGUUGUGCUUUUGUGUUUUUGAAUUGAAGCAGACAAAUGCUGGCCCAUGGCGUAAUAUCCACAAGAUUUCAUAAUUUUUCCAUUUUUGCGUUGAUUUCUUCUGUUUAUGCGUGUUUGAUUUAAAGCAGACAACGAACCAU